RNAcentral lists this ribosomal RNA (253 nucleotides) under uncultured bacterium. RNAcentral's name for it is "partial 16S ribosomal RNA". It matches the Rfam family "Bacterial small subunit ribosomal RNA", at positions 524 to 776 of the family's 1533-position model. The record is from RNAcentral.
UACGAGUGCCCCGAGCGUUAUCCGGAAUCAUUGGGCGUAAAGGGUGUGUAGGUGGUCAUAUUAGUCUUCUGUUAAAUUCUUCGGCUUAACCGGGGGCAUGCAGGGGAAACGGUAUGACUAGAGGAUGCGAGAGGUGUGUGGAACUCUAAGUGUAGGGGUGAAAUCCGUUGAUAUUUAGGGGAACACCAAAAGCGAAGGCAGCACACUGGCGCAUUCCUGACACUGAGACACUAAAGCGUGGGUAGCGAAUGGG